GAUCCUACGGGGGGCAGCAGUAGGGAAUCUUCCACAAUGGACGAAAGUCUGAUGGAGCAACGCCGCGUGGGUGAAGAAGGGUUUCGGCUCGUAAAGCUCUGUUGGUAGUGAAGAAAGAUAGAGGUAGUAACUGGCCUUUAUUUGACGGUAAUUACUUAGAAAGUCACGGCUAACUACGUGCCAGCAGCCGCGGCAAUACGUAGGUGGCAAGCGUUGUCCGGAUUUAUUGGGGGUAAAGCGAGUGCAGGCGG
Molecule: ribosomal RNA, 251 nt
Filed under: uncultured bacterium
Lineage: Bacteria
Description: partial 16S ribosomal RNA
Rfam family: Bacterial small subunit ribosomal RNA
Source: RNAcentral